GUCGGCCUGCGGUUAGCACACACCCAUUCCUGCGAACUGCUGGUCUGGAAAUGGGGGCUGCUUCUCAGUAAUGAGCUUGAGCCCAGCCAAGCCCCGCAAGGCAUUGAAGCUUUAGCUUACAAUGAUCCGAAUGGUCGUGGGCCUCUGGGCUCAAGUUACGACCGAAUUUUUCUGGGACACGUUCUGAAAUAAUCUCAGGAUCACUCUCCGAACUUGGCCUGAGUCUAGGCAAGCAGUGUUACUCGGUUGCCUUGAUCUUGGAGCUGCUGUGUACUGGGGACCGCAAACUAGUUAACUAUAUUCCCAUUAGCAGUAUAUGGGAUCACAGUACUCGGGACUAGCUGAGUUCAGAUAUUUGGCUGCUAUGAGUAACAUGACCUGGAAAGAGAGCACUAGCAAGGAAUGAGGAGUGAUAUAGUGACUGGCGGCUCAGAGAUAAUGUCUACAAGUCACCUAAAACCAUUGCAGAUACAGGGAGAUUGGCUGUUAUGAAUUUGGAGGAUUUCUGGUUGUGAAGACUCUGAUGAUUGCUAAGGAUGUCUCUCACUCUAUUGCCCAAGCUGGACUGCAGUGGCGCGAUCAUGGCCCACUGCAGCCACGACUUCCAGGGUUCGAGCCAUCAUCCCACCUCAGCCUCCUGAGUAGCUGGGACCGCAACUUAGUAACAGUCAUGGACAACUGCAUGUGAAUCUUAUGGCUGUUAUUGGUCAACCUAGCAACCAUGCCGGUUCCCAAG
This is a long non-coding RNA of Cebus imitator (Panamanian white-faced capuchin), 736 nucleotides long. RefSeq lists it as uncharacterized. The record is from RefSeq and is a predicted model, not a curated record. The transcript has 4 exons. NCBI's taxonomy places the organism in Eukaryota, Metazoa, Chordata, Mammalia, Primates, Cebidae.